Molecule: ribosomal RNA, 468 nt
Filed under: uncultured bacterium
Lineage: Bacteria
Description: partial 16S ribosomal RNA
Rfam family: Bacterial small subunit ribosomal RNA
Source: RNAcentral
GACGAACGCUGGCGGCGUGCUUAACACAUGCAAGUCGAACGGAAAGGCCCUGCUUUUGUGGGGUGCUCGAUUGGCGAACGGGUGAGUAACACGUGAGUAACCUGCACUUGACUUUGGGAUAACUUCAGGAAACUGGGGCUCAUACCGGAUAGAAGCUCUUGCUGCAUGGUGUGGGUUGGUAAGUUUCGGUGGUUGGGGAUGGAAUCGAGGCUUAUCAGCUUGUUGGUGGGGUAGUGGCUUACCAAGCCUGCGACGGGUAGCCGACCUGAGAGGGUGACCGGCCACAAUGGUACUGAGAUACGGCCCAGACGCCUACGGGAGGCAGCAGUGGGGAAUAUUACACAGUGGGCGGAAGCCAGAUGCAGCAACGCCGCGUGCGGGAUGACGGCCUUCUAGUGGUAAACCGCUUUGGCCUGUGACGAAGCGUGAGUGACGGUAAUGGGUAAAGAAGCACCGGCUAACUACGUG